Molecule: long non-coding RNA, 1027 nt
Filed under: Cyanistes caeruleus (blue tit)
Lineage: Eukaryota; Metazoa; Chordata; Aves; Passeriformes; Paridae
Description: lncRNA (ENSCCEG00000015761.1)
Source: RNAcentral
AUGAGAGUUCUUGGCAGGCGGCACCGAGGCACCAGAACCAGGCACAGACCCCACGUUGCAACUGGAGAAACAUUUCUGUGGCCACCCAAAAAAAACCCCAGAAGGCCAAUAGCAGCAGGAGAGAGAUAUCAGUGCAGCCUGGAAACUGUGGGCACUGUCCUGAGAAUAGUGAAAUAGGGAACUGACUCAGCAUGAGAAGGUUAUAGAAUCUGAACCCCCUCUACCCAGGAAAUAUAAACACUUGGCCACUCUAUAGAUGAGACUUUAGCAUGACUCUUCAGGUAAUUUUUAAAUUUAAAUGCUGAUGUUUGUUUUACUUUGUGAUGACAUUAGUGCUAUCAUUGUUUGUCCCUGAAUUUAGUGUCUCUGCAUUUAAUGUAUCUGCAUUUAGUGUAUAUCACUGAAGGAGUUUCACUUUGGAGGUUCCUGUUUUGUGAACCCCAGAAGACUGGCAGCUGCUGAAUUAUCAAACCAGACAGGAUCAUGAUGCACAGAAAUGUCAAUUUACCAACAAUUUCAGGUGGUUAAGAGUAAAUUACCUUUGAAAAUAAGGGAAGGCAAAGGCACUCAGGUACCUGAUUUUAUCUCUGUGCCACUCUGAAGUGGCAGGAGUUUGUCCAUUACCAUGUAGUGCCUCCCAUGCACAUAUCAACCUCACUGACAUCUUGUUCAUUCAAGGCUGGGAAGAAAAGUCGUGCUUCACAUUUUUGCCCACACAGAUUCCUGGAGGGGUGAUUCCUGUUGUGUUUGAAUCCUACUAGCAGGCUUAUCCUGUGGAAUACAGACAAGCUUGACCUUCAGAACAGUUCUCCAGCCAGCCUUGAGGGAUGCUGUAAGCAUGACCUCAAAGGAUGGACAAAAUUUUUCUUUAUCACAUUCUUUGGUUCAGGCAGCUGUAAUCUCCCUAAAUUUGCCUUUAGGCAUCUACUGGCUCUUAUAAUUCAAUGCCAAACCAUCUCUUAAGUUUCACCUUAUGUCAUCUUUCAUUAUAAUCUAAAUCAGCUGCCACUUCUUUUCCCAGUACCAC